RNAcentral lists this ribosomal RNA (405 nucleotides) under uncultured bacterium. RNAcentral describes it as "bacterial SSU rRNA". It matches the Rfam family "Bacterial small subunit ribosomal RNA", at positions 335 to 732 of the family's 1533-position model. The record is from RNAcentral.
ACUCCUACGGGAGGCAGCAGUGGGAAUAUUGCACAAUGGGGAAACCCGUAGCAUGCAGCCAUGCCGCGUGUGUGAAGAAGGCCUUCGGGUUGUAAAGCACUUUCAGUAGGGAGGAAGGUAGUGUAGUUAACACCUGCAUUAUUUGACGUUACCUACAGAAGAAGCACCGGCUAACUCCGUGCCAGCAGCCGCGGUAAUACGGAGGGUGCGAGCGUUAUCCGGAUUUAUUGGGUUUAAAGGGUCCGUAGGCGGAUUAAUAAGUCAGUGGUGAAAUCCCAUCGCUUAACGAUGGAACUGCCAUUAUACUGUUAGUCUUGAAUGAGGGUGCAGUGGUUGGAAUGUGUAGUGUAGCGGUGAAAUGCAUAGAUAUUACACAGAACACCGAUUGCGAAGGCAGAUCACUAA